Molecule: long non-coding RNA, 339 nt
Organism: Brienomyrus brachyistius
Lineage: Eukaryota; Metazoa; Chordata; Actinopteri; Osteoglossiformes; Mormyridae
Exons: 4
Source: RefSeq, a predicted model, not a curated record
AAGAUACUGUAAAGCCCAGGGGCAGUGUGUCACUCAGGAGGUCAGGGGUCUAUGCCCGUCUUCUAGGCUCUGAAUAGCGUACAAAGAUACUGUAAAGCCCAGGGGCAGUGUGUCACUCAGGAGGUCAGGGGUCUAUGCCCGUCUUCUAGGCUCUGAAUAGCGUACAAAGAUACUGUAAAGCCCAGGGGCAGUGUGUCACUCAGGAGGUCAGGGGUCUAUGUCCGUCUUCUAGGCUCUGAAUAGCGUACAAAGAUACUGUAAAGCCCAGGGGCAGUGUGUCACUCAGGAGGUCAGGGGUCUAUGCCCGUCUUCUAGGCUCUGAAUAGCGUACAAAGAUAC